GCCCACAUGUAUGAACAUAGUAAUGCUGGAGCAUGUGUCUUUGAUUUCUGCAGGUCUGAUGAUGCAAAAGGGCUCCCGAGAGCAGUAGUGUCCCAGCCUUUCAGAUUAAGUUCUUCCCCACAAGGAUCUGUGUCUACUUUGAAGUCUUCAAAAGUGGCUUUGGCCCCUUCAGCAACGGCCAAAAGGAUAAGCAGAGGUUCAUCUUCAGGCACCAGCGUGAGAAGCUUUUCCAUAAACUCCCGGCUAGCCAGUUCUCUAGGAAACUUGAAUGCUGCAACAGAUGAUCCUGAGAACAAAAAGACCUCCUCAUCCUCUAAGGCAGGUUUCACAGCCAGCCCGUUCACCAACCUCUUGAAUGGCACCUCCCAGCCACCUGCCAGAAAUUACCCUGAGCUCAACAAUAACCAGUACAACAGAAGCAACAGCAGCAGCAGCAGCAGUGGGGGCAACCUCAACAGCCACCUGGGCCCCCACAGCGCCAAGACCGAGGAGCAUGCCACCAUCCUCCGGCCCUCCUACACCGGGCUUUCUUCCUCUUCAGCGAGAUUCUUGAGCCGUUCUAUCCCUUCCCUUCAGUCUGAAUAUGUUCAUUACUAAGGCCUUGCCGCUCGGUGGAAGCUGUUCCUUCUUAGACAUCUGGACAAGCCAUGCGGAGGAGGGCACCAGCUUGCUGGAAGGAUUUCUCUGCCUUCUUACCUUAAAUUAGAGAGAGCACUAAGAUAACACCUUCAAGAGACUUGAAACCAGACAGCUGGUUAAUGACUACUGUAAAUGCACUGAAACUAUGUUUAUGGAGAUUUCAACACUUUUUAAUGACAGUUUUAAUGUUGAAUUUGGUAUUUUGAAAGUUAUUUUUAAUGUAUUUCAGUAAUACAUUUGUUAUUACAUUUACAUGUACAGUGUUACAUUAUGUAUGUAUUGUGAACUUCAAAAGACUAUUUUGAUAAAUUUAUAAAUAUAUGAAAUUUAUGUAAAAACUAGACUAUAUUUUGAUUUAGAUUUUCCUGUUGUUUGCUACCAAAAAUUUGUAUUUUAAACUUAUUUAGUUUUAGUAUGGACUUUGUCUUUAAUGAUUCCUCUUUAUUAAGAAAAAGAAAGGGAGAAAGUUUUUAGGAAGUGGUUUUUAUGUUCCCACUGUAAAUAUGACAGAUCAGUGUGUUCUUUGGGGAUGUCAGUCUAAUUUAAAGAGUUCCUCCAAGUUUAUUUCUACCAAGAGUAGACUUGUUUGAUAUGAUUUAUUUAGGACAAAACCCUUCUCCUUCAUUUUUAUUUCUUGAACCAUUGAAAUUAGCUUUGUAUCCUUGGAAACUUAAAAAAAAAAAAAAACUUACAUCCAGUUGAAGAUUUUAGAGUCUCCUGGUUGUUUCUCCUGAAAGCCUGCUUUUUCUCUAUGAAAUGACUGAACAUUCCAAUUGCUUUUCUUUUUUUUUUUUUCUCCUCUCAAAAGAGUGCUUAAAAAAAAUGCCUUAAACCAUUUAUUUUGCCUCUGUUUUCUCUUUUGUACAUAUGCAGAAGAAGGAUACAUAUUUUAAAAUCCACAUCUAAGGUCUCUGAUCGCUCUGCCUCUUAUCAUACAAUGAUGAUUUUAACGACCGAAAAGCACUUCAAAAGAGUUAUUAACUCGAUUAGAAUAUUCUGCUUUUGGUACGAGGUGGUUGUUGCCUUGUAAAUCACAUGUGGUCUGACACCAGUUUAAAUUAAUGAGGGAAAACCUGAAAAAGAUGCUGCUAAGUAGUUCUUUAUAUCCGGGAGUUAUUUUUUAAACGAACAGAGUACAACUCCCUGACACACACGCAGGUGUAUCUGGAACUAAGAUGAACAUGAAAGGACCCUCUUAUGGGUGGGUACUCAUAGCCCUUUCAUGUGAGUCUAAUCUCUUAUUUAGGUCUCCAGAAUCCUGUUGGCUUCAUUUCCAGGGAGCUGGAGGCCCUUACAUCUGGUUCUCUUCUGGCUGCUUAAGAAUGGACUCAUGCCCACCCUGCAAGUGCUGGGUCAGGGGAUUCAUGUGUAGGGCUUGACUCUGAGCAGUUGAGUUAUUUAUAAUGUAUUUAUUAGGAAGGGGUACCUUGAGACUAUUAUUAUGUGCUUCAGCAAGACAUCUUGUUCAUGUUUUAUGCUUUUAAAGAGACGUUUGAAUGAAUGUUUGACUCAGGUUUGUUAACAUAACCUUCAAUAACUGCAGUACCAAAAAGUUGCGCUCAAUUGAUGAAAAAAAAAAAAGAAUUGUAUGUUUUAGGAGUCAAAACUUAAAACAAGUGGAAUUCAAUGGUAUAUAUUUUUUCUAAAGCUGAAAAAGUAUUUUAUUAAGAGUUAUUAUAAAAAAAGAUUGAUUACUUAUAUAGGAAGAUGAUUGUAUUUUUUCAAAUGAUCAUUGAAAAGUAAUUCAGAUGAUGUUUGUGAAGUGUAGGGGAAAGGGAACCGUAUUGAUGUUUUUAGUUCUGUGAACACUAAUUUGUGUGCAGCUAUUAAAAUGAUUGUAAAGUUGACUACUGUAAAAUUUCCAUAAUUAUGUGUGUACAUAAAUUAUAUGUAUUUACAUGUGUAUGUCUUAAAAUUAUUUGUACACAUGUGCUUACAUAGAUUCACCAAGAAGGGGAUGUAUAUAAUAUAGAAAGUAUAUAGCAAAGUAAUUCUACUCCAGUAAUAAAAAUGGUUUGACAUGUAUUUUGUUAUGAAUAGUUUAUCUUCCAAAAUAUAUUUUGUUCUAUUUUAAAGUAUAGAAGAAUACACUGCUAAUAAAUAAUAAAAGUCUUAUGAAAUUUGCUUCUUGACUUUUAUA
Molecule: long non-coding RNA, 2779 nt
Organism: Ictidomys tridecemlineatus (thirteen-lined ground squirrel)
Lineage: Eukaryota; Metazoa; Chordata; Mammalia; Rodentia; Sciuridae
Source: Ensembl